CAGAUAGAAGCCAAAUGGUCAGGCACUUUCUUUGGGUGAAAGACCUAGUUAGUUCGAUUCUAUCCUAUCUGA
RNAcentral lists this transfer RNA (72 nucleotides) under Monosporozyma servazzii. Its description in RNAcentral is "Kazachstania servazzii transfer RNA-Pro". The record is from RNAcentral. Lineage: Eukaryota; Fungi; Ascomycota; Saccharomycetes; Saccharomycetales; Saccharomycetaceae.